Molecule: ribosomal RNA, 425 nt
Filed under: uncultured bacterium
Lineage: Bacteria
Description: bacterial SSU rRNA
Rfam family: Bacterial small subunit ribosomal RNA
Source: RNAcentral
UCAGGCCUAACACAUGCAAGUCGAACGGUAACGCGGGGCAACCUGGCGACGAGUGGCGAACGGGUGAGUAAUGUAUCGGAACGUGCCCAGUAGUGGGGGAUAGCCCGGCGAAAGCCGGAUUAAUACCGCAUGAGACCUACGGGUGAAAGCGGGGGAUCGCAAGACCUCGCGCUAUUGGAGCGGCCGAUAUCAGAUUAGGUAGUUGGUGGGGUAAAGGCCUACCAAGCCGACGAUCUGUAGCUGGUCUGAGAGGACGACAGCCACACUGGGACUGAGACACGGCCCAGACUCCUACGGGAGGCAGCAGUGGGGAAUUUUGGACAAUGGGCGCAAGCCUGAUCCAGCCAAGCCGCGUGCGGGAAGAAGGCCUUCGGGUUUAAACUGAAGGGUCAGGGAAGAAAUCUUCUGGCUAAUACCUCGGGAGG